AAGCGAAUUAGUCGAGUCACGUCCCUUUAUUUUUCUCCGCUAUCUCUGACAAAGUUGCCCAGACUCGAGUUUCAAGCAUUAAUCAGAAUCGCAUCCAAGCUAAGAUGUAUUAUCCUCAAUAAAGCCAGAAGAAUGACUUUGCGAAUUUAAACUCGUGUUUUACUGAUAGCGGCCCCGGCAAAUCCGGGAAACACCUAAUUAUUCAUAACUAACGUGAUCAUACUUUGUCAGUUUUAUGAAGACGUAUUUUUAACAUUCGUUCGAAAGAACACUAACAUGGGAUAUAGCCCACAAAUGAGCGAAGAGAUUGUUCCCGAACCGCUGAUGUGGCGACGUCAGAACGACUUGCUUAGAUGGUUAUAACACGUCCAAGUUACGAAGACCUCUCUUAACAUUUCUUACUUCUGACUAUUCUUAGUUUUAUACUCGCGAGAGCGGUUUGUCGGUGUCUUUCGAAGUUGGUGUCUGUGUAACGACCCGAAUGAACGAGCAUGAAGUCUGUCAAGAAUGGUAAACAAAGGUGGAACCACACCUAGCUCUUGCGAAGUUGUCGAAGCCAAUCGUUCCAAGCCGUGGAGUCCCGUGGGGGCUAUCCUGUCGGAAUGGUAAUAGAGCUGCAAUGCCAUUCAAAUUUUAUAGACCCUAAUAUGAACACUCGCUUUAGGGUUACGCCUUUAGCAACAAUUUGACAUUAAUUGGAUUUUGAAAUGUAGAAUGGAAAGUAUUAAUGUAAGUUGGCUUAAUUACAAGUUUUAUUGAUA
Plodia interpunctella (Indianmeal moth) is the source of this 761-nucleotide long non-coding RNA. RefSeq lists it as uncharacterized. The transcript has 3 exons. Lineage: Eukaryota; Metazoa; Arthropoda; Insecta; Lepidoptera; Pyralidae. The record is from RefSeq and is a predicted model, not a curated record.